GCAUCCGUUGCAUCGGUGGUUCAGUGGUAGAAUGCUCAUCUGCCACGCGGGCGGCCCGGGUUCGAUUCCCGGCCGAUGCA
Molecule: transfer RNA, 80 nt
Filed under: Trichonephila clavipes
Lineage: Eukaryota; Metazoa; Arthropoda; Arachnida; Araneae; Nephilidae
Description: tRNA-Gly
Rfam family: tRNA (bases 10-80)
About the family: Transfer RNA (tRNA) molecules are approximately 80 nucleotides in length. Their secondary structure includes four short double-helical elements and three loops (D, anti-codon, and T loops).
Source: RNAcentral